Long non-coding RNA from Manis pentadactyla (Chinese pangolin), 4119 nucleotides. RefSeq lists it as uncharacterized. The transcript has 2 exons. The record is from RefSeq and is a predicted model, not a curated record. Lineage: Eukaryota; Metazoa; Chordata; Mammalia; Pholidota; Manidae.
GCACUCAGUUAUCUGUCUGUCUGUGUCUGUCUGUGUCUCACUGUUUUUGUUCGCAAACAAGCCUGAAGCCUAUAUAAUCCUGUAGGAGCUCCAAUCUGUAUCAGGGUCGGCAUUGACUUAGGCGGACGCGCUGGCAGGUUGUCGACCGGGGGUCUUGUGAGACAUCCCUUGCCCCCGUCUGGAGGAUGAAGUCCUCAUCUGUGAGGAAAGUCGGCUGCCGCUGCAGUCUGACAGGCCCUCAACUUACUUUCAGUUUUGCCUUCGCAGCCGUGGCAUAUUCUUCUCAGGGCCACUGGAACAUGGAACAUGUAGGCGCCUGUUUGUUGUUUGUCGUGUUUGUCUUAGUCUUGUUGACAGAAGAAAUGGGACAGACUCAGACGACCCCCUUCUCUCUCACGACAGACCAUUUUUCUCAGACGUUAGGGAGAGAGCUCACAAUUUGAGCAUGGAUGUCAGGGAAAAUUUCGUGUUUUCUGCACCUCCGAGUGGCCAUCCUUUAACGUUCGCUGGCUGCCGGAGGGAACAUUUAAUCCAACCACUCUUUUACAACCUCAGUGUGGAAGUCCAGAAGGGUCGGGGGCAGACUUUUUGUUCUAGUGAGUAGCCAGUUUUCAAUGUUGGAUGGCUGCCAGAGGGAACCUUAUCAUUAAUACUCAGUCUGUAUGUUUGUGUGUCUAAGUGUGUAAAUGAAAAUAUCUUUCUACCUCCGGAUGGUAUUAAUGAAAUUGAUUUAAAGACAAGCGCUUGUGAAAAUUGGGCAUUCUAAAACUUCCAGAAAAUCUGAUAAAAAAUGUUAAGCAUUAAUGCUAAUUUGGGUUUGGCUGAGGCGUGCAUGUCCUUACAGUUAUCAGCUGCCAAAGUUUACUUAAAGUCAUUUAAGUUGAUGUUCCCUGUUAAACAUUUCAAGAAGAUGCUUAAAGAAAAGCUUGACUUUGUCUAAUGUUUAGUAAAAAUUUUCUAAGUAAUCUAGCAUGGUUGCUAAAAAUAAGUAAACAAGUGCAGCAAAUAAGCAUCUUAAUAAUAAUACUGUAUUAAUGUAUAACAGUGUGUAUAUAUGCAAACAGCCUGAGAAUUUUUGUGGUAACCAAAAUUUUUAAAGUUUGCUAAGUUAUAUAGACAUAUUUUGUGCCUAAUGAGAAAUUGUGUUGUAAAGCACAUUUCCAAAAAUGGUAAUAUAUUGUCAUAGAUGUAUCAAUCUGAAGAAUGCUAGUGUAACAGUUUAUGGUGGCCUAUUUUUCAGUGUUCACUGAAAGUUAAAGUAUCAAAUGAUUUUAAGUUCUAAUGAAAACUACUUAAAUAAGGAAAACAUUUCUCUAUGCUAAAAGAUGUAUGUUUUAAUAAGAGAAGGUAUAAAGAAUGAAAACUCGUCUGCAUGCUAAAGAAUGUGUUUUUUGAUAAAAGAAAGUAACUUUGUUCUAAAGUACAGCUAUUUAUUUAAAGGGGGACAGAGAGACAGAGACAAAGAGAGAGAGAGCAGUGUGGUGCAGCAGCGUGGUGCCUUUUGUUGUGGCGGAUCCGCUCAGCCUGUUGCUUUGGGGGAGGGUCAGGAUGUUUAGAGAUAAAGCAGGAUAAACCCAGUCAAGUCCCAGGCAAGCCCAGGCAUAAUUCUCACCGGCUUAUGUGCUUGGGACCAUGGGGCAAAUGAAGAAUAAAUUACUAUAUUCUUACAGAUAUAGUCGUGCUAUGUGAAAUUAAAGCAAGUGAGUCUUGACAUCAGGUACACAGCAAAAUUAGAAUUUUGUUUCCGGUUAAAAAAACAAAGUUUUCUUUAACUGUUAGUCUGCUCUUAAUGUUGAAAGAUUGCAAAACGUUCUCUAAUUGUUUUAUCAAAGCAGUUUCUCAUGCUUAAAGUCUCAGGGAGUUGCCGGAAUAUUUUUAAAAAAAUGAAAUCUUAAUAUUAAAAAGACUAAAAGCUAAAGUUUGUUAACAACUGUGUAACCUUUAUUUGCUUUGAAAUAUUUUGUUAUCAUUCUGGUUAAAUAGAUAAGUAUUGCUUCAUAGCAACCUAUAAUCCUAUUUAAGCAAGUGCCAAAAAAAAAAAAAAAUCAAAUGCAAAAAGGUGCUUUUACCUCUAGUUAACUCUCGUAUUUUCCAGAGGGCCGCUGGAACAUGUCGGAGGAAUUUUUUCCCAUUGGAGAAAGUAUUUGACUAAUUUGGCUUAUUUAUCUGAUCUUAUAUAUAUAUAUAUAUAUUUACCAGGAAAGCACUGUCUAAGAGAAUGAUGCUAAACUUUGUUACUGAAUGUUUUGUUACAGAAAUAUCCAAAUUUUCUUAUAUCAACUCUUAUAGUAAGUUCUCAUCAAGUCUUUAACCAUUGUCAUUUGUAAGUCUUUUGUCAUUUAUAGUCACUUUUAUUAUUCCUGAACUAUUAAAGAACUAGAUUUCAGCAGAACAGGUAUUAGUUACAUAAGAUUACAUAAACUAAAGAAAAUGAUUUUGUGUCUUUUUGUUUCAAAUGUUGCUGAUAAAGUGUUUUAAGCUUGUUCUCUUAAGCUGACAACAGUUUAGUAAAUGACUAUCUUUAUAAGCAGAAUUGAAACAUCUUUCUCUCUACCUGAUCCCUCCAGAAUUUAAAAACUUUCAGUGACUAUUUUUAUAUUCCAUGGCAUGAUGUUUAUUUGCACAAGUUCAAUAAAAAUCUGCUUUCCUUGUAAGAAGACUAAUUAAAAACACUGGUUAUACUACCAAGGCUUUGACUGGAAUGUCAUACCUGAGAGACAUGUGCAUAAACUCAGAUAUGAACAACUUUAAGGAACUAAGAUUGACUUUAUAAAGCCAACAAAGCCCUUUAGAAGAACUGGCCUGGUACCUUGCUUACAGAGUUCCCAGCAGCCUUACCAGAAGCCACAAAACUGCAAAUAGUAAUAGAAAUGAAACCCAGAAUAGAAGCGACAACCUUCUGAGGCCCUCUCAACUGACCAGUGAUGGAGACCUAGCUGCACCCUUUACUGCGCCCCCUCUCAGCACGAAGCAGCCAGAGCAGUCAUCGCCCCUUUUCCCUAGCAGCAGCUAGAGUCUCUAUCUGUAGAGGGGAGAAUGAGACAGGGACCAUAGGCUUAGACAGAAUAAAGUGAGAGCCUCUGAAGAAAGCAAGGCAGGAUAUUUGCAAUCAGAGCAAUAUAACUACAUGCUGGAAACCCCCCUCCUACUAAAACUAUGUUGAACAUUAAGCUCUAGAAUCGAGUGAGAUCAGUUAAUGUUCCCCAGAUAAAGAAGAGUAGCACGUUUUAUUAUGCUAAUCAUUUGUAAUCGUGUAUAAGAUUCACUUUAGCAUACUAAAAAGCCCAGGCCUAUGUGCUGUCUUUCCUCCUUCUGAUCUAAGUAAUUUUGCAAGCUGAGCAACUGACUUAGCAUGCAGACCCAGCUGUAGAUGGCAUAGUAAAAGUCAGGAUUCUUUAGCAAAUAUACAGUAUCUCAGCCCAUCUUAGAGGCUGGGCACGCAGUCUUUUAAUGUGCGCCCAGACCAAGGCGCCAGUGUCCCAGAGAGAAAUCAAGGCAGGAGAUUAUCUUUAAUCAAGGACCCCUUGCCAUUCUACUCCUUUUACUAAUCCUUAGGCCCUGUAUCAUCAACAGGCUGGUCCAGAUUGUCAACAGACCAAAUGGGGGCCGUCCAACUGAUAGUCCUCCUUGCUCAAUACAAGCCCCUAGUAAUCUUGUUACUCCUGCUUACCUGAUAACUUAUUAAAGAUAGAAUUAAUACAGUCAAGCUAAUAGUUCUAAGACAACAGUAUCAGCCUUUAUCUCCUUACAACUGCAAAAUCUUAUUAGACCCAUGAUUGGGUCCCUUAGGAUGCAGAGAAAGAGGGGAAUGAAAGGGCAAGAUCCCAGAUCCUAUUUCAGCCAAUCGGAGCUUAGUCUCUCUCCAGUCAGCAAGAAGUACACCCACCACCCCUAGACCCUGCCAACUGACCAAAGCCACGACUCAUCACCCCCCCAACUACCCCCAGGCCCAGCCAAUCAGCCAGAGCCACGGCCAUCACCCCCCCCAAACCGCCCUGGAAACCCAUAAAACCUUUGUUCUGGGGAAAACGUGCUCUCUUUCUCUGGCAUCUUGCCACUGCGUUGGUGUAGAUGAGAGAUUGAGCUCGAGCUAGCUCGAAUAAAGGCUCUUUGCUUUUG